RNAcentral lists this long non-coding RNA (274 nucleotides) under Phaseolus vulgaris (common bean). RNAcentral describes it as "long non-coding RNA (PVUL_LNC002346)". The record is from RNAcentral. Lineage: Eukaryota; Viridiplantae; Streptophyta; Magnoliopsida; Fabales; Fabaceae.
UAGCAGAAAAAAGAAAAAAGGUGAAUGAGAAGAGGAAAUGGUAAAGGGUAUGAGUAUGUUGUUACUUAGAAGCUAAGAAGGGAAGAAGGUAUAAAUUAAAGAGGUGGGUGAGUGAUGAGAUGCAGUGCAUCCAGUGCCCACGGGAUUUCAAUUGAAUCCCGUCACAAAAUUCCAACGGCCUUUUCUUUUCUCCCCCAUAAUAAUAAUAGGAUGCAGUCACAUGGUUAUGAGCAUCCAAUGAAGGACACCCACGUGGGACCCCUAUCAUUAUAAC